RNAcentral lists this ribosomal RNA (497 nucleotides) under uncultured bacterium. Its description in RNAcentral is "partial 16S ribosomal RNA". It matches the Rfam family "Bacterial small subunit ribosomal RNA", at positions 28 to 507 of the family's 1533-position model. The record is from RNAcentral.
GAUGAACGCUGGCGGCGUGCCUAAUACAUGCAAGUCGAGCGAACAGAUGAGGAGCUUGCUCCUCUGACGUUAGCGGCGGACGGGUGAGUAACACGUGGAUAACCUACCUAUAAGACUGGGAUAACUUCGGGAAACCGGAGCUAAUACCGGAUAAUAUAUUGAACCGCAUGGUUCAAUAGUGAAAGACGGUUUUGCUGUCACUUAUAGAUGGAUCCGCGCCGCAUUAGCUAGUUGGUAAGGUAACGGCUUACCAAGGCGACGAUGCGUAGCCGACCUGAGAGGGUGAUCGGCCACACUGGAACUGAGACACGGUCCAGACUCCCACGGGAGGCAGCAGUAGGGAAUCUUCCGCAAUGGGCGAAAGCUUGACGGAGCAACGCCGCGUGAGUGAUGAAGGUCUUCGGAUCGUAAAACUCUGUUAUUAGGGAAGAACAAAUGUGUAAGUAACUAUGCACGUCUUGACGGUACCUAAUCAGAAAGCCACGGCUAACUACGUG